CACAUGCAAGUCGAGGGGCAGCAUAAAAGUAGCAAUACUUGGUGGCGACCGGCGCGACGGGUGAGUAACGCGUAUGCAACCUACCUAGUCAGAGGGGAAUAACCCGGCGAAAGUCGGACUAAUACCGCAUAAAACAGGGACACCGCAUGGUGAUAUUUGUUAAAGAAAUUCGCUGAUAGAUGGGCAUGCGUUCCAUUAGGUAGUUGGGUGAGGUAACGGCUCACCAAGCCGACGAUGGAUAGGGGAACUGAGAGGUUGGUCCCCCACACUGGUACUGAGACACGGACCAGACUCCUACGGGAGGCAGCAGUGAGGAAUAUUGGUCAAUGGGCGAGAGCCUGAACCAGCCAAGUCGCGUGAAGGAAGAAGGAUCUAUGGUUCGUAAACUUCUUUUGCAGGGGAAUAAAGUGCAGGACGUGUCCUGUUUUGUAUGUACCCUGAGAAUAAGGAUCGGCUAACUCCGUGCCAGCCGCCGC
This 476-nucleotide ribosomal RNA is filed under the name uncultured bacterium. RNAcentral describes it as "bacterial SSU rRNA". It matches the Rfam family "Bacterial small subunit ribosomal RNA", at positions 52 to 518 of the family's 1533-position model. The record is from RNAcentral.